This 293-nucleotide unclassified non-coding RNA is filed under the name uncultured Dothideomycetes. RNAcentral's name for it is "sequence contains ITS1". The stretch from base 1 to 105 matches the Rfam family "5.8S ribosomal RNA", at positions 50 to 154 of the family's 154-position model. The record is from RNAcentral. Lineage: Eukaryota; Fungi; Ascomycota; Dothideomycetes.
GAAAUGCGAUAAGUAAUGUGAAUUGCAGAAUUCAGUGAAUCAUCGAAUCUUUGAACGCACAUUGCGCCCCCUGGUAUUCCGGGGGGCACACCUGUUCGAGCGCCAUUUCUACCCUGGAGCCCUGCUCUGUGAUGGGCCCCGUCCUCGCGGACGGGCCCGAAACCCGUGGGCGCCGUCGUCCGGCCCUGAGCGUAGCAAGAGAAAUCCCUCGCUCGGUGAGUCGCACGGUGGCCGCCCCGACCUAUUUUUACAAGGUUGGCCUCGGAUCAGGUGGGGAUACCCGCUGAACUUAA